CCCUCUGGGGUGCAGCAGGCGGAAUGAUAAGUCAGUGGUGAAAUCCUACGGCUCCACUGUAGAACUGCCAUUGAUACUGUCGUUCUUGAGUACCCUUGGAGUGGGCGGAAUGUGUCAUGUAGCGGUGAAAUGCUUAGAUAUGACACAGAACACCGAUCGCGAAGGCAGCUCACUAAAUUGUAACUGACGCUCAGGCACGAAAGCGUGGGGAUCAAACA
RNAcentral lists this ribosomal RNA (218 nucleotides) under uncultured prokaryote. RNAcentral describes it as "partial 16S ribosomal RNA". It matches the Rfam family "Bacterial small subunit ribosomal RNA", at positions 565 to 774 of the family's 1533-position model. The record is from RNAcentral.